RNAcentral lists this ribosomal RNA (198 nucleotides) under uncultured bacterium. Its description in RNAcentral is "partial 16S ribosomal RNA". It matches the Rfam family "Bacterial small subunit ribosomal RNA", at positions 328 to 539 of the family's 1533-position model. The record is from RNAcentral.
ACGCUCGACACCUACGGAGGCAGCAGUGGGGAAUAUUGCACAAUGGAGGAAACUCUGAUGCAGCGACGCCGCGUGAGCGAAGAAGUAUUUCGGUAUGUAAAGCUCUAUCAGCAGGGAAGAAAAAGGACGGUACCUGACUAAGAAGCUCCGGCUAAAUACGUGCCAACAGCCGCGGUAAUCUGAGCGGGCUGGCAAGGC